This 567-nucleotide ribosomal RNA is filed under the name Triticum aestivum (bread wheat). RNAcentral's name for it is "partial small subunit ribosomal RNA". The record is from RNAcentral. Lineage: Eukaryota; Viridiplantae; Streptophyta; Magnoliopsida; Poales; Poaceae.
AUGAAAGACCUUGUGCACCAACUCCUACAAGGGGCGUCUCCACGGGAAUGGUUUCUCUUUCUCUUCUUCCUCUUUGUGCUCGUGCUUGUACACUACUCGGUGACUAGGUUCGCUGUAAAGAGAGCAGACAGGCAGCAGGUAAACCGCCGUCUCCCACCUUCACCCAUGGCGCUGCCCAUCAUCGGCCAUCUCCACCUUGUCGGCUCCCUACCGCACGUCUGCCUACGUGAUCUUGCCAGGAAGCAUGGCCCCGACCUCAUGCUCCUCCAGUUCGGCACAGUGCCUACUCUCAUCGUGUCGUCACCGCAUGCUGCUGAGGCGGUGUUGCGCACGCACGACCACAUCUUUGCAUCGCGGCCACACUCCGUUGUCGCCGAUAUCAUGAUGUAUGGGAUGGAUGUUGGCUUCGCCCCGUACGGUGAGUACUGGCGGCAGACAAGAAAGCUCGUCACCACCCACCUUUUGAGUAUCAAAAAGGUGCAUAAAGAUAGAGGCUGGACAGGAUACUACAGUUCACAUUUGCGCAUCGUGUGGCAACGUCCAGAGCAGACUUUUGGUAACCGAUGA